Molecule: non-coding RNA, 45 nt
Organism: Ficedula albicollis (Collared flycatcher)
Lineage: Eukaryota; Metazoa; Chordata; Aves; Passeriformes; Muscicapidae
Source: Rfam
CCAAAGGUUUUUUUAAAAACAACCUUUAUUUUCAAGCAAUAAAAU